RNAcentral lists this ribosomal RNA (483 nucleotides) under uncultured bacterium. RNAcentral's name for it is "bacterial SSU rRNA". It matches the Rfam family "Bacterial small subunit ribosomal RNA", at positions 29 to 507 of the family's 1533-position model. The record is from RNAcentral.
AUGAACGCUAGCGGCAGGCUUAACACAUGCAAGUCGAGGGGCAACACGGGUAGCAAUACCUGGUGGCGACCGGCGCAAGGGUGCGUAACGCGUGAGCAACAUGCCCUAUACAGGGGGAUAAUCCAGGGAAACUUGGUCUAAUAUCCCAUAGUAUUUAGAGGUGGCAUCACCACUAAAUUAAAGCUUCGGUGGUAUAGGAUUGGCUCGCGUGACAUUAGCUGGAUGGUGGGGUAACGGCUCACCAUGGCGAUGAUGUCUAGGGGUUCUGAAAGGAAGACCCCCCACACUGGGACUGAGACACGGCCCAGACUCCUACGGGAGGCAGCAGUGAGGAAUAUUGGACAAUGGAUGGAAAUCUGAUCCAGCCAUGCCGCGUGCAGGAAGACGGCCCUAUGGGUUGUAAACUGCUUUUAUAUGGGAGCAAUAAGGUUUACGCGUAGACCGAUGAGAGUACCAUAUGAAUAAGCAUCGGCUAACUCCGUG